CCAAUAGCGUAUAUUAAAGUUGUUGCAGUUAAAAAGCUCGUAGUUGAAUUUCGGGGUUAGUAGGUUGGUCAUGCCUCUGGUAUGUACUGGUCUCACUGAUUCCUCCUUCCUGAUGAUCCUUAAUGCCAUUAAUUUGGUGUUUUGGGGAAUUUGGACUGUUACUUUGAAAAAAUUAGAGUGUUUAAAGCAAGCUAACGCUUGAAUACAUUAGCAUGGAAUA
Molecule: ribosomal RNA, 220 nt
Filed under: uncultured Glomus
Lineage: Eukaryota; Fungi; Glomeromycota; Glomeromycetes; Glomerales; Glomeraceae
Description: partial small subunit ribosomal RNA
Rfam family: Eukaryotic small subunit ribosomal RNA
Source: RNAcentral